CUUGCUUCUCUUGAGAGCGGCGGACGGGUGAGUAAUGCCUAGGAAUCUGCCUGGUAGUGGGGGAUAACGUCCGGAAACGGACGCUAAUACCGCAUACGUCCUACGGGAGAAAGCAGGGGACCUUCGGGCCUUGCGCUAUCAGAUGAGCCUAGGUCGGAUUAGCUAGUUGGUGGGGUAAUGGCUCACCAAGGCGACGAUCCGUAACUGGUCUGAGAGGAUGAUCAGUCACACUGGAACUGAGACACGGUCCAGACUCCUACGGGAGGCAGCAGUGGGGAAUAUUGGACAAUGGGCGAAAGCCUGAUCCAGCCAUGCCGCGUGUGUGAAGAAGGUCUUCGGAUUGUAAAGCACUUUAAGUUGGGAGGAAGGGCAGUAAAUUAAUACUUUGCUGUUUUGACGUUACCGACAGAAUAAGCACCGGCUAACUCUGUGCCAGCAGCCGCGGUAAUACAGAGGGUGCAAGCGUUAAUCGGAAUUACUGGGCGUAAAGCGCGCGUAGGUGGUUCGUUAAGUUGGAUGUGAAAUCCCCGGGCUCAACCUGGGAACUGCAUUCAAAACUGACGAGCUAGAGUAUGGUAGAGGGUGGUGGAAUUUCCUGUGUAGCGGUGAAAUGCGUAGAUAUAGGAAGGAACACCAGUGGCGAAGGCGACCACCUGGACUGAUACUGACACUGAGGUGCGAAAGCGUGGGGAGCAAACAGG
This 701-nucleotide ribosomal RNA is filed under the name uncultured bacterium. Its description in RNAcentral is "bacterial SSU rRNA". It matches the Rfam family "Bacterial small subunit ribosomal RNA", at positions 79 to 776 of the family's 1533-position model. The record is from RNAcentral.